Molecule: ribosomal RNA, 367 nt
Filed under: uncultured bacterium
Lineage: Bacteria
Description: bacterial SSU rRNA
Rfam family: Bacterial small subunit ribosomal RNA
Source: RNAcentral
GAAGGAUCCAAGCGUUAUCUGGAUUUAUUGGGUUUAAAGGGUGCGUAGGCGGUUUUUUAAGUCAGUGGUGAAAUACGGCAGCUUAACUGUCGAGGUGCCAUUGAUACUGGGAAACUUGAGUACUGAUGAGGUAGGCGGAAUGGACGGUGUAGCGGUGAAAUGCUUAGAGAUCGUCCAGAACACCGAUAGCGAAGGCAGCUUACUAAGGAGUAACUGACGCUGAGGCACGAAAGCGUGGGGAGCAAACAGGAUUAGAUACCCUGGUAGUCCACGCCUUAAACGAUGGGUACUAGGUGCUGGGUCGCAAGGUUCAGUGCCAAAGCUAACGCAUUAAGUACCCCACCUGGGGAGUACGAUCGCAAGGUUG